This is a long non-coding RNA of Sapajus apella (tufted capuchin), 865 nucleotides long. RefSeq lists it as uncharacterized. The record is from RefSeq and is a predicted model, not a curated record. Lineage: Eukaryota; Metazoa; Chordata; Mammalia; Primates; Cebidae. The transcript has 2 exons.
GUACCACCGCACCCACCAGUCAAUCGCCAGCCAGUUCAAGUAUGCCCUGGUGUGGGGCACCAGCACCAAGUACAGUCCGCAGCGGGUGGGCCUGACCCACACCAUGGAGCAUGAGGACGUCAUCCAGAUCGUGAAGAAGUAAUGGCGCCUGCCAGGCCUCCAGCCCACCUGCCUCAUCUCCCUGGGGACGUCGGUCCUACUGGGACACACAAACGCCCAAACAGAGAAAUACAAAUACACACACCCCAGGAAGCGGUCUCUCAAGUCUCUGCUAUUUCCAGAAGUUUCUUCAAUAGGCAGAUGAAGAGCGCGUUGGGGCAGAGGGGUUCGGCUGGAAGCAUUUCCCACAAGACUGAGGCCUCUCGUGGGGUUUUGAGUUUGGAGUGUUGGGCCUACAUCUGUGCCCCCGGCCCCUGCGCUGAGGGAGCAAGCUGCCCACCUGCCGGCCAGCUGGGGCCUAAAGCAGAUGGCAUGCUCAGUGCCAGGCGGGAAGCUGGGCCUGCCUGGGUCCCUGGAGGCUGUGGCUGCUGUUACAGCACCUCCCUCCCUCAGCUCCUGCCGGCUUCUCUGACACUUGGGGUGGGGGCCCUUCCAGGAAGAAACCCCCUUGGGUCCUCCACUCAGGACUGUCCAGGAUUGGAAGCAGAGGUUAGUGGCUUCAAAGGCCCAGCUGACACCCUCCACAGCCUAAGGGGUGUCCUAAAGUGACUCCCCCUCUCUGACCCUCCCAGGGCAGCCCCUGCCCAGCACAAAACCCGCAGACCCUGGCUCUGCACGCCUGGGCCGGGGACUUCUGAGUUUAGAAUCUGUUUUCUAAGUCCCCAGUUCUGGCUCUCCUUUCUGAAAUGAAGGAUUGAAAACGGUU